This 435-nucleotide ribosomal RNA is filed under the name uncultured bacterium. Its description in RNAcentral is "partial 16S ribosomal RNA". It matches the Rfam family "Bacterial small subunit ribosomal RNA", at positions 29 to 507 of the family's 1533-position model. The record is from RNAcentral.
AGCGAACGCUGGCGGCAGGCUUAACACAUGCAAGUCGAGCGGGCACUUUCGGGUGUCAGCGGCGGACGGGUGAGUAACGCGUGGGAACGUGCCCUCUGGUUCGGAAUAACUCAGGGAAACUUGAGCUAAUACCGGAUACGCCCUUUUGGGGAAAGGCUUGCUGCCGGAGGAUCGGCCCGCGUCUGAUUAGCUAGUUGGUGAGGUAACGGCUCACCAAGGCGACGAUCAGUAGCUGGUCUGAGAGGAUGAUCAGCCACACUGGGACUGAGACACGGCCCAGACUCCUACGGGAGGCAGCAGUGGGGAAUAUUGGAAAAUGGGCGCAAGCCUGAUCCAGCCAUGCCGCGUGAGUGAUCAAGGCCUUAGGGUUGUAAAGCUCUUUUAUCCGGGACGAUAAUGACGGUACCGGAGGAAUAAGCCCCGGCUAACUUCGUG